RNAcentral lists this ribosomal RNA (330 nucleotides) under uncultured soil bacterium. Its description in RNAcentral is "bacterial SSU rRNA". It matches the Rfam family "Bacterial small subunit ribosomal RNA", at positions 26 to 353 of the family's 1533-position model. The record is from RNAcentral.
AGAUUGAACGCUGGCGGCAGGCCUAACACAUGCAAGUCGAGCGGUAGAGAGGUGCUUGCAUCUCUUGAGAGCGGCGGACGGGUGAGUAAUGCCUAGGAAUCUGCCUAGUGGUGGGGGAUAACGUUCGGAAACGGACGCUAAUACCGCAUACGUCCUACGGGAGAAAGCGGGGGACCUUCGGGCCUCGCGCCAUUAGAUGAGCCUAGGUCGGAUUAGCUAGUUGGUGAGGUAAUGGCUCACCAAGGCGACGAUCCGUAACUGGUCUGAGAGGAUGAUCAGUCACACUAGGAACUGAGACACGGUACCAGACCUACCGUACGGGAGGCAGCG